CAGCAGCCGCGGGAAUACGGAGGGGGCUAGCGUUGUUCGGAAUUACUGGGCGUAAAGCGCACGUAGGCGGCUUUGUAAGUUAGAGGUGAAAGCCUGGAGCUCAACUCCAGAAUUGCCUUUAAGACUGCAUCGCUUGAAUCGCGGAGAGGUGAGUGGAAUUCCGAGUGUAGAGGUGAAAUUCGUAGAUAUUCGGAAGAACACCAGUGGCGAAGGCGGCUCACUGGACGCGUAUUGACGCUGAGGUGCGAAAGCGUGGGGAGCAAACAGGAUUAGAUACCCGGGUAGUCCCUGUCUCUUAUAA
RNAcentral lists this ribosomal RNA (301 nucleotides) under uncultured bacterium. RNAcentral's name for it is "partial 16S ribosomal RNA". It matches the Rfam family "Bacterial small subunit ribosomal RNA", at positions 509 to 809 of the family's 1533-position model. The record is from RNAcentral.